RNAcentral lists this long non-coding RNA (418 nucleotides) under Bos taurus (domestic cattle). Its description in RNAcentral is "long non-coding RNA NONBTAT000224". The record is from RNAcentral. Lineage: Eukaryota; Metazoa; Chordata; Mammalia; Artiodactyla; Bovidae.
CUCUUUUGAUCUCCUUUGUUGAACAUCUGAAAAAGUUUACUUAGCAUGUGGUAACAAUUUUAAUUUGGGAGCAUGCUGAUAAUAAAAAGAUGUGUGUGCAUGCAUCCACAAGUUAAAAAAUGAGUUCACAUAUAUUUGUUCUUAGCAUUCAGCUUGCCUAGCUUUGUUUUUAUAAACAGAACUAUUAAGCUUGCGGCUUUGGUAACUAAAUGCAGAGUAAAUAAAAUAUGAGUCAAUCAAAAAGGUUGAUAGUAUCUAUACAUACUACCUAGUAAUUUUGUGUAUUUGAUGUGUCUGUUCUAACAUGUUUACUUGACACUCUACUGAAAAUAUAAUGUGCAGCACCUAUAAUUAGUCAUUUAAGAAAUAACUCUUAUGUUUUUCCAAAACAUAAAAAUAACUUUUUUAUGUUUUUCCA